UGGGGGGGGCCCUGAGGUGGCCGGUCGUGCCCGCGUGGCCUCGGGCAGUGGAGGCUGGCACCCGGAGGCUGUCGCGAAGAGGGUCAGGGCUGCAGGCCGGGAAGAGGCUCUCCCCUGACUGGACGUCGGAGUCACCUGGAUGGCUUCUAAAUGCAGAUGCCCCGCCCCACCCCUCAGAGUCACCGUCGAGGAGUGGAGUUUGCUCAAGACCAAAACAGCAUCAGAGGAGGAAUUAAAAACGUUUCCCAGGACCAGUGAGACAGCUCAGCAGUGUUUGUCUGAAGCCUGUUUGAUGGAGACAGGAAACCCCUCAGAGGCAAAGGGAGUGUGGGCUUUGGAAGGAGGCCUGAAAGUGGACGGUUUGUUUGAGAGACACAAUGCAAACUUGAGGUCCGACAGGGGCUGCCUGUUGUGUGCUGAGCCUUAGCAGGUGAGUGGGUGAUGUAGCAGCGGUAGUUACUUGCCAGACACUAAACUUCAUAAAGGUGUUUAAUUCCUCAGCACAGUGAUCAUGGGACUCAAGCAAUUAGUGCUUGUCCUCAUGGGUCUAAGUCACUGCACAUGGAUGGGUGGGCAAGGAAGGGAGACCUGCUUCUGCUCACUUCCCUUUGCCUGUUGGUCUGUGAUCACCUGGACCCUUGCAUCUCCCAGAGGCCAAACCAUAUUCAUUAUAGAUGUCCUUUAUUUGCUGCUGGCCACUGCAGAUGAAGACCUUUGUUGGGUUGGCAUGAGAUUUCCUGGGUUCUGGUGAUACUCUGAAGAGGAGUUGGUGAGCUUCACUCCUGUCUGCAAGGGUGAAGCCAUUAGUGGGAAUUUCAGAGGAUUCAUAGCCAGGAGUUUGAAUUGUGGGUCGACGGGAAGUUAUAGAAUAUGCAGACCCAUCCACUCUUAGCUCCACUUUGUGGAGUGCACAUGGGGCAGUAUUACAUGUGUUGUGUGUGGUGCGUGCCUGAGUGAAAGUGUGCACAUGCAUGCAGAGGCUGUAGGAGGACCUCAGGUGUGCUCCUAUCCUAUGCCCUCCUAUCUCACUAUCCUGUUCUCUCAAGAUCGGUCUUUUACUCAGAUCAAAACUCACCAUUUUUUUGCUAGACUGGCUGGACAUCAAACCCUUUAUCAGUGACCCCUGCCUCUACCCCGGAAUUAAAAACACAUGUGGUCACACCCAGCUUUGUUCUUGGAUACCAAGGAUCUGACCUCAAGGCUUCAUGUUUGUACAGCAAGCAUUCUCACUAAACUUUUUAAUCCUCAG
RNAcentral lists this long non-coding RNA (1249 nucleotides) under Cricetulus griseus (Chinese hamster). Its description in RNAcentral is "lncRNA (ENSCGRG00000026380.1)". The record is from RNAcentral. Lineage: Eukaryota; Metazoa; Chordata; Mammalia; Rodentia; Cricetidae.